Molecule: long non-coding RNA, 387 nt
Organism: Symphalangus syndactylus (siamang)
Lineage: Eukaryota; Metazoa; Chordata; Mammalia; Primates; Hylobatidae
Source: RefSeq, a predicted model, not a curated record
UUUUGCCUUUCUCUAGGCCACCUGAACUCGCCUAAGUAAUCAGACCUCCUCCAAAGCGUGGUAUUUGAGAACAGACCUGGCCUCUGUUUCAGAAGGACAUAAUUGACCGUUUUGUAUGAACCAACAUCAAAAUAUCAGACCUUGUGUGCUAAUAGAAAUGUCCGAAUUCUCUUAAAAAGUGGGAAGACCUGGACCUACAUUCCUGCAUGGUAACAAUCAGCUACAGCAGAGUGUCCCAUGCUCCAUGAAUUAAGUAAACCCUGAAAACAACAACAACAACAACAACAACAACACAACCCCUGCACACGGUAUUGCGUCAGAAUGAUGUAGGGAUACAAAGAACAUCGGGACAUGGACUUCAUUUCCAAAGGACGUGGCUCUUGCAUG